RNAcentral lists this ribosomal RNA (412 nucleotides) under Scopimera bitympana. RNAcentral describes it as "partial 12S ribosomal RNA". It matches the Rfam family "Microsporidia small subunit ribosomal RNA", at positions 764 to 1311 of the family's 1311-position model. Lineage: Eukaryota; Metazoa; Arthropoda; Malacostraca; Decapoda; Dotillidae. The record is from RNAcentral.
UAGAUACUUUAAAAUUAAAAAAUUUGGCGGUAACUUAAUCUUUUUAGAGGAACUUGCUUUGUAAUCGAUAAACCACGUAAAAUCUUACUUGUUUUUGUAAAAUUAGCAGUUUGUAUACCGUCAUUAUCAGGUGAUUCUAAAAAGGAUAAAAUCUCUGAGUUUUAUUGGUUAGAUAAAUUAGAUCAAGGUGCAGUCUAUAAACAAGUUGAAGUGAGUUACAAUAAGUUAUCUUAUAACGAAACAAUAAAUGAAAUCUUAUUGUAGAAGGAGGAUUUAAUUGUAUCACAAUUUUAUUAAGUUUGUGAGAAAUAAGCUCUAAGUUAUGUACAUAUCGCCCGUCGCUUCCGCUAAAUUAAAGGAAUAAGUCGUAACAUAGUAGAUAUACUGGAAAGUGUAUCUGGAAUUAAGCAUA